GACAGAGGGUGCGAACGUUGUUCGGAAUUACUGGGCGUAAAGCGCGUGUAGGCGGCAACGUAAGUCGGGCGUGAAAUCCCACGGCUCAACCGUGGAAGUGCACUCGAAACUGCGUAGCUAGAGUCCUGGAGAGGAAGGUGGAAUGCUUGGUGUAGAGGUGAAAUUCGUAGAUAUCAAGCGGAACACCGGUGGCGAAGGCGGCCUUCUGGACAGUGACUGACGCUGAGACGCGAAAGCGUGGGGAGCAAACAGG
Molecule: ribosomal RNA, 253 nt
Filed under: uncultured bacterium
Lineage: Bacteria
Description: partial 16S ribosomal RNA
Rfam family: Bacterial small subunit ribosomal RNA
Source: RNAcentral